Molecule: ribosomal RNA, 255 nt
Filed under: uncultured bacterium
Lineage: Bacteria
Description: partial 16S ribosomal RNA
Rfam family: Bacterial small subunit ribosomal RNA
Source: RNAcentral
UACGUAGGGUGCGAGCGUUGUCCGGAAUUAUUGGGCGUAAAGGGCUCGUAGGCGGUUUGUCGCGUCGGGAGUGAAAUCCACUGGCUUAACUGGUGGCUUUGCUUUUCGAUACGGGCAGACUGGAGGUAUGCAGGGGAGAACGGAAUUCCUGGUGUAGCGGUGAAAUGCGCAGAUAUCAGGAGGAACACCGGUGGCGAAGGCGGGUCUCUGGGCCGAUACUGACGCUGAGGAGCGAAAGCGUGGGGAGCGAACAGG